This 253-nucleotide ribosomal RNA is filed under the name uncultured bacterium. Its description in RNAcentral is "partial 16S ribosomal RNA". It matches the Rfam family "Bacterial small subunit ribosomal RNA", at positions 524 to 776 of the family's 1533-position model. The record is from RNAcentral.
UACGUAGGGUGCAAGCGUUAAUCGGAAUUACUGGGCGUAAAGCGUGCGCAGGCGGUGAUGUAAGACAGAUGUGAAAUCCCCGGGCUUAACCUGGGAACUGCAUUUGUGACUGCAUAGCUAGAGUACGGCAGAGGGGGAUGGAAUUCCGCGUGUAGCAGUGAAAUGCGUAGAUAUGCGGAGGAACACCGAUGGCGAAGGCAAUGCCCUGGGCCUGUACUGACGCUCAUGCACGAAAGCGUGGGGAGCAAACAGG